Molecule: long non-coding RNA, 424 nt
Filed under: Homo sapiens (human)
Lineage: Eukaryota; Metazoa; Chordata; Mammalia; Primates; Hominidae
Description: non-protein coding lnc-IGFLR1-2:1
Source: RNAcentral
CUCUGUCCUGCCGCGCAGGAGCGGGAUGCUGAGCCCUGUCCGCCCCACGGGGAGCUGCAGUACCUAAGGCAGGUGGAGCACAUCGUCUGCUGCAGCUGCAGGAAGGACGCCCCCAGGGCACCUGCUCUCUGCCGCCGCUGUUUUCGUUUUCGGCAGGCAGGCAGUCAGUCAGUCCCACUGCAGCCUGAGAAGUGACUUUCCUCUGCUGACAACCACAAUGUUUUGGAGGAGUUGCUGUCGUUUAUCAAGGGAUCCACAUAUGCUGAAGAACUGUCUUCCAAGAGAGUGAAAAUGUGAGAUGAGGCAGUGGAGCCCUUUUUGGACAACUUGGGAUUCUCCACUGAGAAGAAGGGGACUUGGGCCCAGUUUAUGGCUUCCAGUGGAGGCAUUUUGGGCAGAAUACGAAGAUAUGGAUUCAGAUUAU